RNAcentral lists this ribosomal RNA (253 nucleotides) under uncultured bacterium. RNAcentral describes it as "partial 16S ribosomal RNA". It matches the Rfam family "Archaeal small subunit ribosomal RNA", at positions 474 to 727 of the family's 1478-position model. The record is from RNAcentral.
UACCAGCACCCCGAGUGGUCGGGACGAUUAUUGGGCCUAAAGCAUCCGUAGCCGGUUUUACAAGUCCUCCGUUAAAUCCAGCUGCUUAACAGAUGGGCUGCGGAGGAUACUAUAAGACUAGGAGGCAGGGGAGGCAAGCGGUACUCAGUGGGUAGGGGUAAAAUCCGUUGAUCCAUUGAAGACCACCAGUGGCGAAGGCGGCUUGCCAGAAUGCGCUCGACGGUGAGGGAUGAAAGCUGGGGGAGCAAACCGG